AUACUUACCUGGCAGGGCAGAAACCAUGAUCACAAAGAUGGUUUUCCCAGGGCGAGGCUUAUCCAUUGCACUCCAGAUGUGCUGACCCCUGAGAUUUCCCCAAAUGCGGGAAACCCAACUGCAUAGUUUGUGGUAGUGGGGGACUGAGUUCGCACUUUCCCUUG
Octodon degus (degu) is the source of this 164-nucleotide small nuclear RNA. Its record names the gene U1. It matches the Rfam family "U1 spliceosomal RNA". From Rfam's summary of the family: U1 is a small nuclear RNA (snRNA) component of the spliceosome (involved in pre-mRNA splicing). Its 5' end forms complementary base pairs with the 5' splice junction, thus defining the 5' donor site of an intron. NCBI's taxonomy places the organism in Eukaryota, Metazoa, Chordata, Mammalia, Rodentia, Octodontidae. The record is from Ensembl.